This 77-nucleotide transfer RNA is filed under the name Stetteria hydrogenophila. RNAcentral describes it as "tRNA-Trp". It matches the Rfam family "tRNA". From Rfam's summary of the family: Transfer RNA (tRNA) molecules are approximately 80 nucleotides in length. Their secondary structure includes four short double-helical elements and three loops (D, anti-codon, and T loops). RNAcentral also lists the same sequence under 6 other names. Lineage: Archaea; Thermoproteati; Thermoproteota; Thermoprotei; Acidilobales; Acidilobaceae. The record is from RNAcentral.
GGGCCCGUAGCUCAGCCAGGCAGAGCGGCGGGCUCCAGACCCGUAGGUCGGGGGUUCGAGUCCCCCCGGGCCCACCA